UCUAGCGUUCAUGCUGCCAUUUAAAGUUUUUCAAGUUAUUCUUCGAUGAUUUUUAUAUAUUGGACGGUGGGCUGGACGCGCAUAACAAGAGGUUUAUUAAAUGGUUGCGAUUACUGAACGGGGGAUGGAUGAUACAGGGGCAACUUUGACUACAAAAGUUGAAGAGGGUUCAACCAAAGGAAGUUGCCUUUUACAAGAAAAUGCGCAAGCUAUGUUUGAAUUGUUUUCUUCGUGGGCAAAACGUUGGAGCGAGGAGAUCGAGAUAGUAGAGGAGAAGCUAUUAAAUGAUUACAAUGAACUUUUGGGUAUUAAUGAGGAUAAAGGAUAACAUUUAGUAAGUAUUAAAAGGUGAUUAACUAG
Zophobas morio is the source of this 360-nucleotide long non-coding RNA. RefSeq lists it as uncharacterized. NCBI's taxonomy places the organism in Eukaryota, Metazoa, Arthropoda, Insecta, Coleoptera, Tenebrionidae. The record is from RefSeq and is a predicted model, not a curated record. The transcript has 5 exons.